UACGUAGGGGGCAAGCGUUAAUCGGAAUUACUGGGCGUAAAGCGUGCGCAGGCGGCUUUGCAAGUCAGAUGUGAAAUCCCCGGGCUUAACCUGGGAACUGCAUUUGUGACUGCAUGGCUCGAGUACGGUAGAGGGGGAUGGAAUUCCGCGUGUAGCAGUGAAAUGCGUAGAUAUCAGGAGGAACACCUGUGGCGAAAGCGGCUCACUGGACCAUAACUGACGCUGAUGCACGAAAGCUAGGGGAGCAAACAGG
This 253-nucleotide ribosomal RNA is filed under the name uncultured bacterium. Its description in RNAcentral is "partial 16S ribosomal RNA". It matches the Rfam family "Bacterial small subunit ribosomal RNA", at positions 524 to 776 of the family's 1533-position model. The record is from RNAcentral.